This 1588-nucleotide long non-coding RNA is filed under the name Androctonus crassicauda. The record is from RNAcentral. Lineage: Eukaryota; Metazoa; Arthropoda; Arachnida; Scorpiones; Buthidae.
GGCAGCAAUGCAUCAUAUGAUUUUUUCUUGAUGCAGAUCCUCAAUAUUAGUUUUCCAAUAAAAAUAUAUCAUUAUUAUUAAAUUAAACAAGAUUUUUUUUUCCAAGAUUACAUUUUAUUUUUCAAUUUUAUUAACAAAAUUGCACUCCCAAUUUACAGCACACCUAGGCAAUUGUCUAAGUUCACUUAAUUAUAGAACAGUCUUUAAUUAAAGUCACACAUGACAUGGGCAUAAAUUUCAGUGAUAGAAUCUAUCAGUAUACUGAUUGUAGCACAAGGCCCCUGGCAGCCAUGAGCUCAAACAGGGACCAGAUCCAAUAUCCGCUUGAUCUACCAUUAAUACAAGUUUAUUUUAUUAAAGAAAUUAUAAUAAAAAUUGAAUUAUAUAUAAACCACUUAUGGACCAUAUAGGUUAUGUAUGUAUGCAUGAAUUUGAAUAUUUCCUUACAACUUAAAAAGUUGAUAUUUGGAGAUGUUAUAAAGGGAUCACCGAAUUGGUUUGUAAGAAAUAUGACAAUCCAGAAUUGCAUUCAUAUGUCACAAGUACUGAAAAUGUUCACUCACCUAGUUACUGCACAAUAUGGUUCUCUUAAAGCAUAUCAUGAAAGGCAUCAAUUAAUUCAUCUGCCUUGAUGCUGUUGGUAACUUCUGUGAUAUUGAUCUUCAAUUCAUCUGGUGUGUGUGAAUUAAUUUCAUACACUUCCUUUAAGGUUCACCACAAAUAAAAGUUACACAUACUGAGAUCAGGUGAAGAAGAGUGUCAACACUUUUUGGAUACUGUUUGCUAUUUUGAUUCAUUAAAGAAUCAAAAUAGAAUAAUUUGUUAUCAAUAUGAUGAUUGAUUUCAUGUUGUAAUUGAAACAAAACUAAACAUAAAAGAAUUUAAAUAUUUGAAAUAUCAACAUAAAAAUAAUAUACACACACCACAUAAUUUAAGCAGGAACAAUUUUAAAAAAAAGAAAGAUUGUUCCUGCUUAAGUGCUGUGGUGUACAUAUAUCCAGACCUCACUUUGCCUCAUUUUAGUUUUCAUACUUAAAUCUUAUAAUACAAACAAAAUCCAUUUGCUUUGAUAUUCACUAUCUUUAUGAAAUUGAUAAAAUAGUAUUCCUAAUGUUAUCUUAUGAUUGUUAGUGUAACCAAAUACAACACAAUAUAGCAUAAUGAAAAUUCUGCAGACCAAUAGUUACAUUAAGUUAAAAAUACAAUAAAUAUUAUAUAUUCUUUUCUAAUCACAUUGCUUUCUUAUUUAAUUUAUCCAGUUUGUUUAGUAUUUCAUAUGCUGCCAUACCAUACAUGAGAUAUAAUGUAUCUGCCAAUAAUCACUUUUAAAUCCCACAACAGGCUGGCCAACAUCCAUGAUGGUGUUAGCUGGACCAUUGAAGCCCAUCACUCAUGAUGGUUAUGGGCUUCAAUGGACUAGGUCUGAAUCCUCCUAAAAAUGGAAGGCAUAGAACUAGGAUUUGAAUCCAGCCUGCAAGAUGAUAAGCAACUGCUUUAUUACACAACCAUCCAACCAACAUUUAAUUUAUCAAAUUUAUAAUGCUAAGUUACUUGAUUCAGCUUUACAUCAUCAACAUGAUGGCUAGUG